CUGGACAGUAAAGUGGCAGAAACACUUUAUCCGGGGUUCUUGUUAUGGGGCAGAAACCUCACUCUGGAACUGGGCUUAGAGCACAGCACGGCUUGUGGGAACUGCUGGCCCAGAGGCAGGAUUCUUUCUGAAGGCAGGCCAAGGCUGGGGACAGCAGCUAGGAAGGCGGAGGCUUGGGAGUCUGUCAGUUCUCCCCUGGAUUUUACAAGAAUGAGCACUCAUGGGCCAAGGAACAGCUCCAGAAGCCCAAUGGAAACUUGAGCGAGUGGAGAAUGAAUCUGUCAGGAGUUCAGUGAGCAAAAUCAGAAAGGCAACCUGAAUGACCCCAGGACAGCGCACAAAGCAAGAGGGAAGCCGGUUGUGCCACACCCACGCGUGUAGCGGUGGGGCGUUCAGACUCGCCAGGCCCAGCACCUGCCAGGCCAGGAUUCACCCACGGAGGGUCUCUGGGGUCCAGGGUCUACACGACUGGAUCCGCAGGUUUACGGUCUACAGGGCGAGGGUCCUGCGGAGGGACCCGCGGGGUCGGAGUCUGGGUCAGGGCCUGCGCAGGGGGCUCGUGUGCCGGAGGGAGGGACGCGCGGGUCCUCGGGAUGCGGCUCCGCACCGCAGGGUCGCGGGGAGAGGGUCUGCGAGGCCCCGGGCUGGU
Molecule: long non-coding RNA, 649 nt
Organism: Nannospalax galili (Upper Galilee mountains blind mole rat)
Lineage: Eukaryota; Metazoa; Chordata; Mammalia; Rodentia; Spalacidae
Exons: 4
Source: RefSeq, a predicted model, not a curated record